CUGCAUAGUCACGCGGAACGGCUGUCAGCUUGCAAGGGUGACACGGUCGGCGGGUCCAGACGCUCGAUCACCGGCAAAACGUAUCCGAAUUCGCGUACGAAACAAACACCGCGCACAGCAUCCACAUUCCACCAUAGGGAAUCUGCGACCGCGCAACCGCCGGGAUCAAAUCACAUCCGCCGGCGAAAGUAGUGCCGCGCUUCGCCGAAACCGCGAAUCAAAUAGCUAAAAGGACGGCUGCGCGCUCCCAAACUAGUAAACACCAAAUCUAGCAUUCGUUCUCGACGUUUAUUUUUAUUUUCUUUUUUUUUUCCUCCUUUUCGCACUUCAUGUCGCGGUCCUCUAUUACAAACCUCAAGGUUGUUGCUGUUUUUGUGUCCAAAUAAUCUGUCACAAGAGGUUCUUCAAAUUAAUAAAAGUGAAACAGUUGCACGCAGUUACGGAAGUGGCGUCAUUCCUAUCCCAAUAUGGCGGACGUUGAGCAGAGUAAACAGAGUGGCAAUUACAGCAGGUCGUAUGUGGUCAAGAAAGUUCCGAUGACGACCCUCGAUGAGAACGUGAACCGUGUUCCACGGGUAUACACAAACGAACGAGUAGAGGAAGAUCGAUCGGGUUGGCAAGAAAGAAUAGAACGUCUUUCAAUGGAUAGUCAGGAUAAAAACACCUCGGAUGUCGGACAACCUGUGCAAAUUGUACUUGCUCAUCCGGACCACAGUUUCGAGUUAAACGAAGAAGCGUUGUCGAAAAUUCUCCUUGAAAAUGACAUUAAAAACAGGAGCGUAGUUGUCGUAUCAGUGGCAGGUGCUUUCAGGAAAGGCAAAAGCUUCCUGCUUGACUUCUUCUUGCGUUAUAUGAACAGUCAGUACAAUAAUAAUAAUCAAACGGAUUCCUGGUUGGGCGAAGAUAAUGAACCACUGAGUGGAUUUUCGUGGAAAGGUGGCUCUGAAAGAGACACGACAGGCAUAUUAAUGUGGUCGAAAGUUUUCCGCGGUACUCUACCGGACGGUGAAAAAGUUGCAGUUAUCUUAAUGGAUACACAAGGUGCUUUCGACAGUCAGUCGACGGUGAAGGACUGUGCGACUGUGUUUGCUCUUAGUACAAUGUUGUCAUCUGUACAAAUUUAUAAUCUGUCACAAAACAUCCAAGAGGAUGAUCUUCAGCACUUGCAGCUUUUCACGGAAUAUGGUAGGCUCGCCUUACAAAAAUCCGGGCGCAAACCAUUCCAGAAAUUGCAGUUCUUAGUGAGAGAUUGGAGUUAUCCGUACGAGGCGUCGUACGGCGCAGAAGGUGGGGAAAAGAUAUUGAACAGAAGAUUAGAAAUCUCUGAUAAACAGCAUCCAGAAUUGCAAAGUCUAAGGAAGCACAUUAAAUCUUGCUUCUCGGAUAUAUCUUGUUUCCUUAUGCCACAUCCGGGUCUCAAUAUUGCCACCAAUCCUCACUUCGAUGGCAGAUUGUCGGAAAUUCAGCCAGAAUUUAAAGAACAGCUCAAAGUGCUGAUACCGAUGUUAUUAGCGCCAGAGAAUUUGGUUACAAAGAAAAUCGAUGGCCAACUUGUGAAGGCAAGAGAUUUGCUAGAAUAUUUUAAAAGCUAUAUGAAAAUUUAUAAAGGAAACGAGCUUCCAGAACCAAAAAGUAUGCUAGUGGCAACAGCAGAGGCAAACAAUUUAGCUGCGGUAACAGAAGCUAGAGAAUUUUAUAUACGAUUAAUGGAAGAUGUUUGUGGAUCCAAAAAACCGUAUUUAACAACAGCGCGUUUAGAAAACGAGCACACGCGUUGUAUGGACAAAGCUAUGUGCAUAUUCCAAAAUAAAAGGAAAAUGGGGGGAGAUGCAUUUAGUCAAACUUAUAUGAAAAAAUUAUGUGAAGACAUGGACAAAGUCUUUGUUCACUUUAAAGCACAAAACGAAAGCAAAAAUGUUUUCAAAUCAACACGAACCGCAGGAGUAUAUGGUGCAAUUGUUGCUAUUAUGUAUUUUUUAUCCUCAGUAUUUGGUUUUACUGGUUUAUACCUGCUAGCAAAUAUCUGUAACUUCAUCAUGUGCAUCUGUAUAUUAACUCUCAUGUUAUUGGCAUAUAUUAGGUACAGUGGUAAUUACGAUACACUUGGAGUAGUAAUAGAUGAAGUGGCUAAUACAUUAUGGAAUAAUGUCCGAGAUAAUAUGGGCGUACUACUAUUCACUGUACUUACACUUGCUGUGGCUGCUGCUUCAUCAUGGUUUUUAAUUUUACGUAAUUCCACUUUUCCUUCCCCAUCUCCUUUACCCUCUCCCGUUAUUCGUUUUAGUUCUGCAAAUGUACCUAACUUUUUGGAACAUUUAUAUUCCGCAACAGAUGUUGGUUUUUGUACUGUCUCCAAGUUCUUCCACUCUUGUAAUUCCGUUUUACAUCGCUAUUUUCCCAUUUUUUCAGAAUAUUUAUAUCACCUGACGAACAUUACUAUUAAUAAUAUUGAUAAAUUAUAUGAUUCUUGUUUAACCUAUUACUCCCCACUUUUUUCGGAAUAUUUGCAUUACCUAACAAAUAUUACUUUUGACAAUACUUCUAAAUUGUAUAAUUAUUAUCUAGAUUAUCUAUAAAUCAUUUUAUAAUAUAUAGUUAAACUGUUAUAGUCAUAUUUGCACAUUUACUACAUACAUGUAUUCAUUACUUUCAAUAUUACAUUUUUUACUUGUAUAAAUACUGCCUUUAAUAUUAUGUUACUAUUUUUUUUUCCUCCUUAAUGUAAGCUGAAUACUAACAGGAGCGAUUGUACAAAAGUUAAUUAAACCAGUCUAUCAACAAUUUGUGGAGAAGUCAGUGUCUGUAGCAGUGGCUCAAGCUGCUGAAAUGGCUA
Molecule: RNA transcript, 2833 nt
Organism: Frieseomelitta varia
Lineage: Eukaryota; Metazoa; Arthropoda; Insecta; Hymenoptera; Apidae
Gene: atl
Gene name: atlastin
Exons: 10
Source: RefSeq, a predicted model, not a curated record